GGUGGUAACAUAGCUGCCAGCAGUCCUAGGAUCCUCUUCUGAGAGCACUCAGCAAAAACUUGUUCCUGGCUAGGUAUCAGAACCUUCUCUGCUUGCUUCUGAGCUGAAUCUUCUGAAAUGCAAUCAUCUGUUGGGGUAAUGUUAUCUUCCAUAGACAACUCUGAUUCUUGUCUCAAAACAGCUUUCUUUGCAGACACAGCAUUACGAUCACUUUCACUUCCAUGUUUUUGUACUUUAUCUCCUGCAGGAGACUGGAUUUCAUUGAGAGUCUCUCCUUUCUCAUUACUAUGCAUAAAGGAGCCUGUGCUUGGUUUCUCAUCCUUCCCCUUCCCUGCUUUAUCACCA
This 345-nucleotide long non-coding RNA is filed under the name Gallus gallus (chicken). The record is from RNAcentral. Lineage: Eukaryota; Metazoa; Chordata; Aves; Galliformes; Phasianidae.